GAUGAACGCUGGCGGCGUGCCUAAUACAUGCAAGUCGAGCGAACGGACGAGAAGCUUGCUUCUCUGAUGUUAGCGGCGGACGGGUGAGUAACACGUGGAUAACCUACCUAUAAGACUGGGAUAACUUCGGGAAACCGGAGCUAAUACCGGAUAAUAUUUUGAACCGCAUGGUUCAAAAGUGAAAGACGGUCUUGCUGUCACUUAUAGAUGGAUCCGCGCUGCAUUAGCUAGUUGGUAAGGUAACGGCUUACCAAGGCAACGAUGCAUAGCCGCCCUGAGAGGGUGAUCGGCCACACUGGAACUGAGACACGGUCCAGACUCCUACGGGAGGCAGCAGUAGGGAAUCUUCCGCAAUGGGCGAAAGCCUGACGGAGCAACGCCGCGUGAGUGAUGAAGGUCUUCGGAUCGUAAAACUCUGUUAUUAGGGAAGAACAUAUGUGUAAGUAACUGUGCACAUCUUGACGGUACCUAAUCAGAAAGCCACGGCUAACUACGUG
RNAcentral lists this ribosomal RNA (497 nucleotides) under uncultured bacterium. RNAcentral's name for it is "partial 16S ribosomal RNA". It matches the Rfam family "Bacterial small subunit ribosomal RNA", at positions 28 to 507 of the family's 1533-position model. The record is from RNAcentral.